This 13791-nucleotide long non-coding RNA is filed under the name Nicotiana tabacum (common tobacco). RNAcentral describes it as "long non-coding RNA (NTAB_LNC007878)". Lineage: Eukaryota; Viridiplantae; Streptophyta; Magnoliopsida; Solanales; Solanaceae. The record is from RNAcentral.
CAUGAUACAGAUGAAUGCCUAGCAUUAAAACAUAAGAUUUAGAAUUUAAUUGAUGCUAAGAAACUGCAAGUGCACCUACCAGUUGGAACAAAUAUCUCAAAUGCAAUUAGCCGCAACACAAGCAAUAUACCGAGCGUGGUUGGGUGUCCGAAGAAAAAAUAUCGUUUGGACUAGUUCACCUUUGCAUUGCUGGCAUUAUCAUUUUGCAACUAUCAUUAUAGGAGUAGCUAUUUUUGUAAUCAUGCUUUGCUUUUGUAAGAACUACGUGUUAACCUGAUUUCCGUUUAAGAGGGGAUACGUAGGCAAUCCUAUGGGUUCGGUCUCAUCAUAAUAAGAUUCUAUUUACCCCAAAAGCCAAAACCGGGGCAGAUUUUGCAGAAGGAUCUUCAUCAUUCAGCAAAGCAAAAAAUGAAAUUCCGAGCUACAUAUUUGUUACAAGCAUAACAGCAAAUUCCAUAAUACCAUGGCAACAAGUUGCAGAUUCAAAGACAAACUUUGACGUUCAAUGCAAGGCAACCACUUUCUUUUAUACUAAUGAAUUUUCUUUGAGUAAUGCAGGGGCAUUUUUAGAUAUUCUUGAACAUUACAUGCUAUUGCAAAGCUCAUCAGCAAGUUAGAAGUCGCAAGAUUCAUGCAAAGCAAAGGAUGAAGCCAAGCGAGCGCAAAUAAAACUUUGCAACUUAUAAUUUUUCUUUGAAUGCAGGAUAGCGGGGGGUGUACCUUUGAAGCUUCAACUCUCCACCGGAUUGCAUAAUCCUGAAAAGAUUCAUGUGGUAUUUUUAUUUUGUACAGGCUAUGCAUGUCUGGAUCAGCUCCAAGGUUGAACUCAUAUUGCUUUACAAAAUUGUGAGCCAUAUCAUCCCACGUGCUCCAUUUGCUAAAAUCUUGUUUUGUGUACCAAACAAGUGCAUGUCCUGAUAAGCUUUGAAUAAACAAGUGCAGGUCCCAAAUGGACUCGUUGUGUCCUAUGCCAAUUAACCUGCUACAAUAGUCUUUCAAAUGAGCAAUGGGAUUUCCCUUCCCGUUGAAAGUAUUAAACUUUGGCAUCUGGUACCCUAGUGGGAGUUCUACAUCUGGUUGCAGGCAUAAGUCUUCAUAUCGUAGACUUUGGUAAUUUCUUGAUUGCAAUUCUUAUCCAAUGGAUUUCUUUAAAUCCGAAGUUCUUUAUCCAAAUCUUUACGAUAAAUUUGUUGGAUUUCUUUUCCACAUCUCUUAUGAGGGCAUACUGCUAGUUCGUUUUGCUUGCUUUCUUCAAAUGGAGUUGUGGUUAUGGGAGGCAUUAUCAUGACUUGAUUAGGGUUGCAGGUUGAUGGAACUUCUGUAGAGAUUGCAUAAGUAGGAGCUGGGCAAGGGGAUAUGGUUAAGCAAAUAUUUUGGUUUGAGUUAGAAGCUGAGGUUGCAUUCGGAAGAAGGUUGAAAGUUCUUCCCAGAUUAACCAGCAAUUUUUUUCGUACCCCAUUUGCCUCGGUAUCUUCACCUUUUGCUUGCAAAAAUCUCAUACCUGUACUGAAUGCUUCAAAUCUGUAUGCCAUAUAGCUUCGUCCUUUAUGCAGAUUCACAGCCAAAAUAGUAUUCAAUGCUAGGCAACCUUUAAAGGCAAAAAUAAAACUUUUAUACAAAAGCAAAGUGUUAGCAUAUUCAUCACAAUGAAAUAAAUGCACAAAAUAAUAAAGUAUAUAACUAGAUAGGUUAAUUCAUAAUAUGGUUAAGUAGAAGCCCUAAACUGGAAACGAUGGCUUAAGUUGUAAAAUGGAUGGACGAGAAUGACUUGUUAUCUAGAGGUCUCUAACACUAGAGACUUGAAGGAAAGGAAGUAAAAUGAAUUUGAGUAGAAUGUGCAGUUUGUGAGAGGUUGACUCACGUUGAGACAUCAAAGUUUAUCCUUAAAAUAGGUUCUUGCCCUUGCAUGGCUCUGAAAUUUAAAAAAAAUUGCCCCAAUCUUUGUGAAGUUUCUGAUGACUACUCCAUUGCAUGAUUUCCAUUUCGAGCAUACUCAUCCUGCGUGCUAAACAUCUGCCCCAGUUUCUUUGCUAUAAUGAAACUGAGCCUUAUGUAGGCUGUGCUUCAAAGAGGCCAUAGGCGAAUAAUUUUGACGUUGUAAAAUAAUUUUUGGCUGUUUGAAUAUCGACAGGCUCAGAAUCAAGAUACUUAAUUAGGAUAUAAGAGUCAAUUGGACAUGAAAUGACUCUAUUAUUAUUUUUUAGUGUUGGCAAAUCAUAAAGUCGAGGCCCGGAAUACGGUAUCAACCGUUUUGAGACUUAUGGGAUAGUACCUCAACUCACAUGCCAAGACUUAGAAUUAACGGGUGCGUGAAGAUUAGGAUCGACGACCCGAAAUAAAACGAUACAGACACUUGAAUUGAAUAGGUAAAAAUUUUAGAAUAAUUUGACGAUGCAAAUUGACCAAAAUAGUGCCCUUCUAUUGCUCGGUAGAUUGCGCAAGUUUGAACAUCUACCAAUUUGAAAAUGAGAAUUGGCAUGAAGGUUGAAAUAGUUAGAAUAGUAAGUAGAUUUUAUGAAACAUAGAGCUACGAGAAGAAUCGAAGGUACGAAUAUUCGGUGAGGCACGAGUUGCAAUAUUUGAAAAAUAUGUAACUAUAUUUUAAGAAAAGAAUGCAAGUAAAAUUAACUCACGGAUUAGAUGGGAAAAAUAUUUUCUAAUUAUGAAAUAUUACGACAGUUUUUUUUUUUAAAUUUAAAGAAGUAGGAAUGAUAUCUUGCUAUAGGGAGUGAGAUGCUCAUUGUUGUUUAAAAAAGUCUUAAUGCUAGUUUAUGGAAUGGAUUCGAGAAAUUUAUGACGAACCUGGCCUAUUGAGGAGUUUAUGGGAAAGACGUCGUACUUUAUAAAAAUAGAAGAUACCGAGAGACUAAAUAUAUCUUAAUUAGACUCUAAGAAUUGGAGUAGACCUAAAAAAAAUUUGAGCCUAAGUAAAUACAAAAAUGGUCCUCUAAAGUUGUUAUGCGCGGAAUGAUUGAUGAUUAUUAUUAUUAAUUCAAGGAAAUGAUAUAAAAAUAAGCAAAAGAAAAAAAUAUAUGCACAAAUGAAAGUAUAUAUUUAAAUAAAGAUAUAAGCAAGUUGGAUAGUUAAUACUUCAAAAAACAACAGAUAAUGUUAGUGAAAAUAAUAAAGUCGAGUAAGUAACAUAGCAAGUAAACAAGCAAAGCAGGUGACAAAUUCAAAAGCAUAACAAAUAAUAGUGUGUUCUAAUAUGCAGGGGACCUCUGUGUGCUAGAGGUAGGCCUAACGUGUAUUUGAAAGAUAAAUAUGCCAUUAUAUAUCAUCCCAUUGUUGUAAAUUAAUUAAAUAAUUCUAUUUUUUGAAAAGCAAAUAAAAUGGUAAAAUAUAACUGCUUAAACCUCUUCUUUGUGGUCCAAAGAAAGUAUAUUUUCAUCAAAGGAAAGUAUACUAAAAUAUAUUUUCUCAUGUUUAAACUUCUCGUUAAUUGUGUAAUUCAAAAGAUUUCAUAAAUACCAUAAAAACGUUGAUCAUGCUCAUUUACCUAGGAUUUAAUAAAUUUAGAGCAAACGAUCCACAUAAUUGGCAUAUUCACCUUUCAAAUGAUGCACAUAUACGUGAUAAGGUGUCACUUGGGGUUCAAAACCCACUCGGACAUUUAGGUAAGGUUAAUUAAUGGAUUUAAUACACCUCGGGUAUUAAAUGACCUAAGGUUAAAAUGAUGCAUGCUCGUAAAAGGGUUUUAGUUUGGCUCUAUCUUAGGCUGACUAAGAAUGAGUUUUGCUAGACUGGUCAUCUCCCAAGCGGACAACUUGAGAGUGGAAAGCCCGUGACUGUCGACUGCACCGCUGAUCGAUUUACCCACGAACUUUCCCCUAAAAGGUAUUUUUUUAAAAAGUGCACGACCACAGACUACGUAACCGCUAGGUGUGUGCUUUGUGUGAAUUUUCCAGAAGUGGAGGAAGUAAAACGAAAUAACAAAUUAUAUAAAUUAAUAAGAAUAUAUGAUCAAGUGGUAAUCAGACCUGUUUCUAUGCCCUCCCAGCCAAACCAGAUGCUAUUUCUUCAGAUGCUGUGAUUACAAGUAUUGUCUCAGUCUGCCACAGAGAUGCUUCUGUAUUAUUUGAUCCUGGUUCCACUUUUUCAUAUGUGUUAUCAUAUUUUUCUCAUUAUUUGGAUAUGCCCCGUGAGUCUCUUGUUUCAUCUGUACGUGUAUCUACUCCGGUGGGUGAUACUAUUAUUAUGUACCGCGUGUAUCGUUCUUGUGUGGUGACUAUUUGGGGUUUGGAUACCCGACUGGAUCUUCUGUUGCUUUGUAUGGUCAAUUUUGAUGUGAUAUUGGGCAUGGAUUGGUUAUCUCUGUAUCAUGCUAUUUUGGACUGUCAUGCUAAGACAGUGACGUUGGCUAUGCCGGGUGUGCCACGGAUCGAGUAGCGAGGUUUGACUAAUUUUGUCCCUAGUAGGGUGAUUUCAUUUCUGAAGGCCCAGCGGAUGGUUGGGAAAGGUUGUCUUUCAUACUUAGCUUUCGUGAGGGAUGUUAGUGUAGAGACUACUACAAUUAAUUCAAUCCCGGUAGUGAGGGACUUUCCGGAUGUAUUUCCUGCGGACCUGUCGAGCAUGCCCCCGGACAGGGAUAUUGACUUUGGUAGUGACUUGAUACCGGGCACUCAGCCUAUUUCUAUUCCACCAUAUCGUAUGGCAUCGGCGGAGUUGAAGGAGCAGCUUCAGGAACUCCUUGAUCAGCGGUUUAUUCGGCCUAGUGUGUCGCAGUGUGGUAUGCCUCUUCUAUUUGUGAAGAAGAAGGAUGACACUAUGAGGAUGUGCAUUGAUUACAGGCAGUUGAACAAUGUCACAAUCAAGAACAAGUAUCGUUUGCCUCGUAUUGAUGAUUUAUUUGACCAACUUUAGGGAGCGAGGGUGUUAUCCAAGAUUGAUCUCUGUUCAGGGUAUCACCAGUUGAAGAUCAGGGACUUGAAUAUUCUUAAGAAAACUUUCAGGACCUAGUAUGGUCAUUAUGAGCUCCUUGUGAUGUCUUUUGGGCUGACCAAUGCCUAGCAGCAUUCAUGCAUUUGAUGAACAUCACGUUUCGGCCUUAUCUCGACUCGUUUGUUAUUGUAUUCAUUGAUGGUAUUCUGGUAUACUCGUGCAGUCAGGAGGAGCACGCGAAGCAUUUGAGAGUUAUGUUGCAGUAGUUGAGGGAGGAGAAACUUAUGCAAAGUUCUCCAAGUGUGAGUUUUGGCUUAGUUCAGUGGCUUUAUUGGGGCACGUGGUGUCCAGUAAGGGUAGUCAGGUUGAUCUGACGAAGAUAGAGGCGGUUCAGAGUUGGUCCAAACCGUGCUCAGCCACAGAGAUUUGCAGCUUUCUUGGUUUGGUGGUCUAUUGUCGUCGGUUCGUUCAGGGAUUUUCAUAUAUAGCAUCACCGUUGACCAAAUUAUCUCAAAAGGGUGCUCCUUUCAGGUGGUCGAAUGAGUGUGAGGCGAGCUUUCAGAAGCUCAAGACUGCCUGGACCACAACUCUAGUGUUAGUGUUGCCGUCAGCUUCAAGUUCAUAUACAGUUUAUUGUGAUGCUUUUAGAGUUGGUAUCGGGUGUGUGUUGAUGCAGGAGGGUAGAGUGAUUGCUUAUGCUUCUCGUCAGUUGAAGCCCCACGAGAAGAACUACCCCGUUCAUGAUUUGGAGUUGGAUGUCAUUGUUCACACAUUGAAGAUUUGGAGACAUUAACUCUAUGGUGUGUCUUGUGAGGUGUUUACUGAUCAUCGUAGCCUCCAGCACUUGUUCAAGUAGAAGGAUCUCAAUUUGAGGCAGCGAAGAUGGUUGGAACUGCUAAAGGACUAUGAUAUUACCAUCUUGUAUCACCCGGGGAAGGACAAUGUGGUGGCCGAUGCUUUGAGUAGGAAGGCAAUGAGUAUGGGCAGUUUGGCAUAUAUUCCUGUUGGGGAGCGGCCUAUUGCAGUUGAUGUUCAGGCAUUGGCCUAUCAGUUUGUGAGGUUGGAUAUUUUGGAGCCCAGUCGGGUCUUAGCUUGUGUGGUUUCUCGGUCUUCCUUGUUUGAUCGCAUCAGAGAGGGCCAGUAUGAUGAUCCUCAUUUGCUUGUCCUCAAGGACAGAUUUCAGCACGGGGAUGCCAGAGAUGUAACUAUUGGUGAUGAUAGAGUAUUGAGGAUGCAGGGUCAGAUAUGUGUGCCCAAUGUGGAUGAGCUUCGGGAGUUGAUUAUAGAGGAGGCUCAUAGCUCGCGGGAUUCCAUCCAUCCGGGUGCCACGAAGAUGUUUCAGGAUUUGAGACAACAUUAUUGGUGGAGAAGAAUGAAGAAGGAUAUUGUGGGAUUUUUAGCUCGGUGUCUCAAUUGUGAGCAGGUGAAAUAUGAGUGUUAAUACCCAAUUUUUUCUCAUAUAUUUUUAAAUACUUUCAAAAUAUAUUACAUGCAUAUACAAAUAUGCACAAGUAUUUUUAUAUUUUUUCUAUAAUUUUUAAAGGGCUUUAAAUCAAUUUAUUGUUGUAUUUUUAAUUAUAUAAAUAUUCAAUAAUUAUUCCUCAUAUUACUUUACGAUGAUUUAAUCAUCUAAAUUCAUCAUUUAUGCUCAUGUAAGUGUUCAAAUUGCAUUUUUACAAUUACAUUUGCAUUUUUAAGACUAUAAUUGCAUAUUUUGCAAAAAUAGCCCAUACAUAUGCAUAACUACAUUAUCUAUACCGAAAAUGACUUUUUGUUUUUUUAUAAUUUUAAGUAAUUAUUUUAAAUCAUAUUUAUGAAUACAAAUCAUUUUUAUCACUUAAUUAACUAUUUUUACAAAAAAUUUCUUACUAAUUAAUUGGAUAUUUAACAAAUAGCCCUUUUAAUUCCGUUUCAAUUAAAUUACACCAGCCCAAUAUUUUAAAAUACCAGCCCAAAACCCUCAAGCCCAACUCUGCACCUACCCGACCCAAAGACCUUGCCUAAUCGUGGCCGUUGAUCUCUAAGAUCAACGGUCCACGUUAUUUCUUACCAUUUUUAAUCCUAAGCCUAACCUUAACACCCCAUUUCCCUCUCUUCCGCCGUCAUCAUUUUCCCUAACCUCUCCAUUCUCUCUCAAACACCCCCUAAAACCUAGCUGCUGUCACUUGUAAAACUCCCCGUCCAUGGGGUUUCUGUGUAUUUUCCGGCCUGUGCCGGCCUCUUACAUCUUCUGGUUGUUCGACUUCAUUGAUUUAUGAGAGAAUCUCAAAGAUAUUCAACUGGGUUUUGUCAAAAUCUAUCUCACAGGCUUGUCUUUUGCCAUGCUCAUUUGUGAGUACUGUUUCUUGCCUAUUUUUGGUUUGAAUCUGUGGUUUUGCACCGAGUUUCUUUCAUCUUUGCUAUUUUUAUAAACCCUAAUCUUAUAACUAUUUGGGUCUGCCAGAUCCUUGUAGAUCUAGAAAGUUUAAGUGCUAUUUGAUAUUUUUCCUCAAACAUCUUAUACUUUUGUUAUUACUAUUCUGAUUUCAGUGCUUCUCUGAAAUUAGGGUUUUCAUCCUAAGUUUCUUCAAAAGGUUUUCUUUUUUCAAACUUUCAAGUGUUUAAUCUGAUUAUCCUUUACUCGUUUGGUUAAUUUUGUGUAUGUUCUUUAAACCCUAGGUCUUGUUAUGUUAUUGCACUAAUUUCUUUAAUUUUGAUUCCAUUAUUUGUUUAUUUCUGUCAACCCAAUAUACUGAUUGAUUUUUAUUAGGGAUUCGAAUAAUAUUUUCCUAUUAAAAUCAGUGUUUUCUGUGAUUUUAUCUAUUUCUUUAUUUGUGACCUUGAUUAGUUAUACUUGCCUUAAUCAAACUAUUGAUAUGGUUUGAGAAUCUGAUUGACUCCUAUAUGGUAUAAGAUUGAUUUCUUGCCUUAUUUGAGCCCUAGUUCUCUACCGUUAAUUGACCCUCCCUAAUUUAAAGGGUCUCUUCCGGAUUUCUCUAUUGGAAUUGAUUCCCUAAUUGGCUGAUUGAUUUUAUUUGAUUACCCUUGUUUUACGAACUGUGAUUUCCUCUUUACCUUAUUUGUUUUACCUCACUAAGUGCUAUAUAUACUCUUAUUACUGAUUCUUCAACACACGAACAUAGUUCAACAAAACACAUACACACACAAAACUUUGCUCUCAAAACCUCUCUGCCACUUGUGUUCAUUGCACUGCCUAGCUGGCUGAAAGCCAAAGCUAGUCCACUGAGUUCUGCAUAUCUUUCAUCUUCUGUUUACCAUCUUUAACUGGUAUGUCCCUAUUCCUAAUGUCGUUCGUUAUACUAUGAAGCUUGAACCUAUGUGUUCUCUCAUUUGCUGAUUUACUUUUGUUUAAUCCAUGUCUCUUCUAUAUUUUGAUUAGCAUGUCUACUUCUGUGUUUAACUAUGUAUCCUCCUAUUUAUUGCCUUAAACCAGCAUGCUUACUUAGGCAUUUAAACUAUUAUCGUUACUGUUUAAAAUCAUUUACUGGUUUAUCGCAAUUUUGAUUCAUGAUUAGAUAUCAUGUUUAUAGGACAUCUCUGAUCUACGCCUAGGCAAUUCUGUAGGACAAUUAAAAUCUUGAAAUUAUAAAACUAUGCUUUGUUCAACUGUUUGUGAACUGCCCAUAUUCAGCAAGUCCUAAAAUCAGUAGGCAUACUGAUUAGGUAUCUUUUUCCUUGCUUUAAAAAAAUACUGCAUAUGUUCUUCUUUGUGCUCACCUAGAUAUCCUGCUAUAGGACUUUUAAAGUGUCUGAAAUACUGUUGUUUGAGACGUGCAAUUGCCUGCUUAUUUGUGGAGGUAAAUGUGAGCCUUUAACUAUUGCUUUAUCUGACAGUCUUAUUUGUUUUGUUUGUCGCUUAGAUUUUCUCCUUUUAAGCACUAUAGAAGAAUCUAGAUCCAUCUUAACUAGAAGUCCUAAACACCUCCAUGACCAUAAGUAAGGAACGAGUAAUGCACGCAUAGAGUACGUUUAAUUAGAAUUGCUUAUAUAACCAUUAAGGGGAGGGUAGUCGAGUAGUAAAGAAUAUGAUGACUUGUGCGCUAAUGCUAUGUGUAGUACCCAAACUAGGGAAAGAUUACCAAGUAUUGCACAGAAGUGAUCCUAUAGGCUAAAAAACCUAGUACCAUUUUUAACCCUUGUUUUAAACGUAAUAUCUAUUUGUCUAAAUUGCUUUGUUUGCUUAUAAGACUAAUUCACCUAAUUCGAGUUUGGUCAGACCCACGGUUGUGGACCUCGAGGGCUGCCUAACACCUUCCCCUCAAGGUUAUUUUGAGCUCUUACUCAAUCUCUGGUAAUGCAAAUCGGUUUAUGAGUUAUUUUAUUUAGGUUCCCUAACGCACCUUAAAUUCGUUAGGUGGCAACUCUUCAAAUUCCGUACCCAUCCCAAAAGGAAAUGGGUUGUCCCAAAAGGAAUGUCGAAACCCGAACUCUGCGAGGAAAAGGGGGCGCGACAGCAUGGCAACUCUACUGGGGAUUUUUAGGCUCUUACCAUAAUGAACUUGUAUUUGUGAAUUAGUCUUAAGCAUGCUUUAUUCUGUUAAUACAUAUGCACCCUUUCCCCUUCCCCCUUAUUUGGAUUUAAUUGCCUAUUUCUCAAGCAUUCAUGAUUUCGUUUAUUUCCUGAAACUGACUUGUCUCCUUAUUUUCUUUCUUAACUGUCUUUCAAUUAUUUUGAUACCGCAUUUAUCAUUUUUAACGUGCAAAUACGUGCCUAAAUGCUAUUUAUUGUUGUAUAAAUCAUGCACAACAUCAUAUUCCACUUGUGCGUAAUCAGUCCUAUAGCAACACUUGAUGAGUAUUUGCGCUCUUCUUAUACAUCACCCUUUAAAUUUGGAAAGGCGUAUUUGCGGUAAAACUAGUCGAUCAAGGGUGUAAUUGACGUUUCCGUGCCUUUCCCCCUCAAGUUAUCCGCUUGAGGGUACCAGUCUAGACCUCUAUAGAAACCUUACUCUGAUUAAUUGUAGAUGCAUCAUGGUCAAAUCUAGCCGAGUUAAUAUGUUUUCCACAUAAUAACCUCUUAAGAUAAGCCUCGUCCAAAAGUCCAUCGGGUUUUCCAUAAUCCCAACGGACGCAACCACGAUUGUGUGCAUUAAUUUUUGGGGAAAUAAGUGCCAAUGUGCUAAUCAUUAUUGUAUAAAUAGACGAACUUGGAGCGAAAAGGGCCUAACCAUAUUUUAUUUUGCAAAAAAUGAGGCACGAAGUCCCCAGGUUCGGCAUGGUCAGUAACAUACCAUCACUAUUAUUGGUGGAGGGAUCUUCCAUCAAGUAACCAAAAUCAUGUGAAAAGGGUCUUAGGAAAUUUUCCUUCUUUGUUGGACCUCCAGUCGAACAAAAUGUUAAUCGAAGCAGCUACAAUGUUCUGGGACAAAGAAAGGGAUGUGCUCCACUUUGGAGACAUAGAAAUGACCCUUGUCUUGGAAGAAAUAGGGGAUUCGCUGGGUUGCCAUGGGAUAGCCCUGGUUUAUUGGUACUUGAAAAUCGCACCACUAGAGGAUUUCUUAAGAUGAUGGGGUUAAAGAAGAAUGAUGACUUGGAGUGCCUGAAAAACUCCUACACACCCUUCGACUUCCUCUAUGAACGAUACGGUCACAACAGGUCUUACCAUAUUUUUGAUGAUGAAUUCUCCAUCACCUCUUUCGGUUGGAUUCACCACAGGGUCUUUAUGUUCACCGUGUGUUUCUUGGGUAUGCUCAUGUUCCCGAUCCAAGGAGACAGAAUCCGCACCAGGCUGACCAUGGUGGCCAAAACUUUGAUGGACGGGAUCAAGGGGCAUAUACCAUUGUCCCUAUGAUCAUUCAAGAUAUCUACCGAGCCUUGGAGCGCUGUUAGAAGGGGUAUAGAUACUUCGAGGGUUGGAAUUUGCUGCUGCAAGUUUGGCUGUUAGAACAUCUCCAAAAAGGUCAAUACCGUCAGAAAUUUCUGCGAAGGCCGUGGAAUGAUCAUAUAGCCUUACGUCAUUCCAAGAAAAUGACCUAUAUCCCAGACAUGUUUGCUCAACCAAAGGAUACAAUAGGAUGGGUGCAGUUUUUCAACAAUUUGAUCGAGGACCAGGUUCAAUGGAUGUUCAAGUGGUUCCCUACCGAUGAGUUUAUCAUCAUGUCUAGGGAUGUUCCACACUUGGUACUGAUCGGGUUAAAGGGCAUUUACCCUUAUGCUCCCCUCAAGGUUAUGAGACAUGCAUGAUGGAAGCAGGUCAUACCGUGAGUUGCUAAAAUGAGUCAUUUCAUAGCCGAUUUUUAGGGUGAUGUCAUUCCAUACAAAAAUGAAGCACAUCACAUGUGGCACUUGAAGAUUAUGGUAGAAAAGGAUACAAUCGAGUCGGAUCGGUAUCACACCGGUCACAUGUACUUUUACCAUUCAUAGUUGGAUGAUAACAUAGGGGAAUAUUCGAGCCAAGGGUUGGUCCAGGAAACAAGGUCAUAGACGAAGUUGCCGAACCACAAGUGAAUUAUAACAAAUUGCGCAAAAGAGUUCGCUAGUCUGAAGCCGAGCAUAUGUAGAAACAUAAGGCCGAUAAGAAAAAUAUCAAUGAGUGGAAAGAGAGGGCUGUUAAAUCCAGCGAAAGACUGGAAUAUCUGGAGUACAUUCUGAUGGAAUUGGAAGGGAUAAUGAGGAAGAGAGUAACCGAUUGCCAGAACGCUGAGGGAAACGAAGGAAGGCAUUUGGCAAGGGCAUUCUUACUGCUGAACCUGCGCGAACUGGGGGAUCUGAUCGACAAGAGCAUCCAGCCUGUAGAAGGUCCUUCUGGGACCAAGUAGAUUAUGUUUACUUGCUUUUCAAAUGUAAUAAGGACAAGUGCCAUUAAUGACUUAUCUAAUUUAGUGUCAUUUUGGGUCGUCUAUCUUUAUAUUUAAUGAAAUGAGGCAAUUGUUGGCACUGAAUUUCUCUAAAUCUAUUUGUCGCUAGACCUACCUCGGGCACAACGAGGCCCCCAAAUUAGGAAGCGAAUCUACAUUCCCGUAAUAUGUGUUUAAAUACUGCAAAUUUUUCAGAAUCCUUACUGACCUGUUUACCUUUUGUAUUCCUUUAUUUUUAUUAUUCCCAUCCCCUAAGAUUGGUUCGCACAGACUGGCAUUAUGAGCAUAUCACACCAGAUCUAGAGGCCCUCCACCUCCUCCUACUCCAAGUAAUACGAAAAGCUGAGGAAAUGCUAAGAUGGAUGACUUGAGUGGUAUACGAAAAGAAAAUGCUGAGAAUGCGGAAACUACAGACGGUCAGAAUACUCCACAUAAAAUGACUUGGUCUUGCGAUUGGUGUCACACCUCUUUUUUACCAUCCGAUAGGGGAUAUAAGGGAGUUUUUUCCAAUUUAAGUGACAAUGAAACAGGGUUAUUUUUAUUUAAAAUUCAGAUGCGCCACUUGGGAUAAUUUAUGGUGUCCCAAGUCACCGGUUUAAAUCCAGUAUCGAGGAAAAAUUGACUCUGUUUUACAAUCCGCGAAACACAGAAAUCCGGGUAAGGAAUUCUGUUAACCCGGGAGAAGGUGUUAGGCAUUCCCGAGUUCUGUAGUUUUAGCACGGUCGCUCAACUGUUAUUAUUGGCCCAUUUAUUUGAUUUUAAAACAUCUUUGAAACCUAUGUGCAUUUUUAUUCCUUUUAAACCGCUUUUAAUAUUUCAGAAAAUUUCAAGGUUAUUUAAAACACAUCGUAAGCCCCGCUAUAUGAAAUGUACCCGUGGUUCAGGACACGUUCUAUUUAACCUUAUUAGAAAUUAGAACCAAGUCAUAUGAAAUGUGCACCCGGAUUUUAAUAAUUACGCAUCACAACUACGUCACGGGAACCGUACCCAUAACUAUGAUGAAUUAUUUAAAGAACGCGCCUAAAGCAUGCUAUUGUAUGCAAUUUUUUUCUAGUCUCGAAUUAUUGUAAUGCCACAAAUUAUGAAACUAUCGGGGCGAAAUGGUAUGAUGUACUCUAGUUUUCAUGAUACUAAGCAUUUGAAGGUUAUUGCGAUUUUAAGGAUGGCUUACUCGAAUUUAUGCCUCAAAAGAAUGCCUACGUCUUUACUAAUGUUCAUAUCCGUGCUAAUAAAUAAUAAAUAAUUAAUAUAUAUUGAACUUUACUAUUUACAUACCAACUAUAUACAAUGCAACUUGACAUAACUAAUUUAAGUAACACUUAUUCCAUUUAAAUAAGAAGACAAAAUAAUUAAUUAAGCAUUACAUCAACAAAUCUCACGGGAAAAUAAAGGGGAACACACUGUCACCUAGCCCGCUUUGAUUUAAAGUCCACAUUAUUGAUUUAUUCAUUAGCAAGGAUAAACAUUAUAAAAUCCAUCAAUCUAAAGUCCAAACAAAGUAAAUCUACCAAGCAUAUCUAAACAUUAUAAAAAUAAUAAUAAAGCAUGGUAAGUAUUUGAAUAAGAAAAGGUAAGAGAACUGACCUUUUAUUACACACUUCUCCUUUGAUAUUGAACUAUAGGAGAUUAGAACCCCGGUAACACGACUCCGCGAAAACAACAAGAAGGCAACUAGAAAUCGCGAAACAAGAAAGCCCAAUGAACCUCAGAAUGCCUCGAUGGCGACCACAGGCAGUAGAAUUGACGACCUCGACUUGCCGAGAACUCGACCUCGGCAGUAAGGAAAAUUAGGAAAGAACGAGCUGUUUUGCUGGGUUUAUGGCUCGAUUUGUCGUGUUUAUGAGGCUGGUUUGGAUUGGUUUAGAGGGGGUUAGGAUGCUGCGUGUUUGAAGUGAUUUUUAGGAGGUGUUAUGGUAUUGUUUUGAUUGAUUUUAUGUGGUAAAACGAGGGGAUUUCAGAUCUGCCCCAUGGCCGUGCUUUUGUGAAGCUAAUGAAGCUUAGUUACGGCUCUACAUGGUGUCUUUUGGCUGGAACUUGGUAGUGUUUUGGAGGAAGAAGAAGAUGUUGCUAUGGGUCUUUGAGUGAUUUUCUGUGGCAGAAAAGUGGGGGUGGA